UACAGAGGCCUCGAGCGUUAGGCGGAAUCACUGGGCUUAAAGCGUGUGUAGGCGGACCCCUAAGUGCCUUGUGAAAUCCCACGGCUCAACCGUGGAAGGUCAUUGGAAACUGGGGGACUUGAGUACAGAAGAGGAAAGCGGAAUUCCAAGUGUAGCGGUGAAAUGCGUAGAGAUUUGGAGGAACACCAGUGGCGAAGGCGGCUUUCUGGUCUGUAACUGACGCUGAGGCGCGAAAGCGUGGGGAGCAAACAGGG
This 254-nucleotide ribosomal RNA is filed under the name uncultured bacterium. RNAcentral's name for it is "partial 16S ribosomal RNA". It matches the Rfam family "Bacterial small subunit ribosomal RNA", at positions 524 to 777 of the family's 1533-position model. The record is from RNAcentral.